UACGUAGGGUGCAAGCGUUGUCCGGAAUUAUUGGGCGUAAAGAGCUCGUAGGCGGUCUGUCGCGUCGGCUGUGAAAACCGGAGGCUCAACCUCCGGCCUGCAGUCGAUACGGGCAGACUAGAGUUCGGUAGGGGAGACUGGAAUUCCUGGUGUAGCGGUGAAAUGCGCAGAUAUCAGGAGGAACACCGGUGGCGAAGGCGGGUCUCUGGGCCGAAACUGACGCUGAGGAGCGAAAGCAUGGGGAGCAAACAGG
RNAcentral lists this ribosomal RNA (253 nucleotides) under uncultured bacterium. RNAcentral's name for it is "partial 16S ribosomal RNA". It matches the Rfam family "Bacterial small subunit ribosomal RNA", at positions 524 to 776 of the family's 1533-position model. The record is from RNAcentral.